Long non-coding RNA from Trachemys scripta elegans, 951 nucleotides. RefSeq lists it as uncharacterized. NCBI's taxonomy places the organism in Eukaryota, Metazoa, Chordata, Testudines, Emydidae. The record is from RefSeq and is a predicted model, not a curated record. The transcript has 5 exons.
CCUACUUGCACUGCUCUCCAGCAGAGCCCAGAAGAGGAGGUGGUCAGUAUCUGUGAGGCGGCUGAGACCCCAUUCCAUACACAGCAGCGUGGGGACUGGUCCUGCAAUGUGCUGAGUGCCUCCAGUGGGUCCUAAGUGCUUCCCUCUCCCAGUGACUUCAGAAGGAGCUCUUGGUGUCCCCAUUGGAAGAAUGCAAAACAAUCAUCAGGCUGAGGUAACCACAGGUCCCUCUGUGAGAAUCUGCAGAACACGCACAUUGAACUGCACUUUGAGGCUGCUAUUUUUUUUUCCACAUGAGCUCAUUUCACCUGGACGAAUCACUAGACACCGUAUAAGCAGGAACAUGAACGAGAGAAAGGAAGACACACGGAGAAAGAAUGAGGUCUCUUUGACCCAUGCCUCAUUCAGCGCAUAGGAGGCACACACUAGGGAGCAGAAUUGAGAUGGCACGAGCAACUGUAAAUUUGGAAUUCCCCAACUGCCAAGUCUAUGUCUUUGCUAACCUACAAUAUGUCCUUUUAAUGUAGUAUGUUUACAUUGCUACAGUGUAUUGGGCAAAUUUGAAAUUUGAUUUGUCUUUUGGAUCUAGCCAUGCAUACGGGCAAUAUUAAUGUAGGUCCCUAUUCUGAUCUAUCAGUGACACUAAGCAGAGAUCUCCCCACACACACUUAAAUUACUUCUGCCAGGAAUAAUCAUUAUAUUUAAAACUGAAACCAGAGGAGCUGGUCUGGAUCCAGGAAUUUGAAUCCAAAUUCCCUGAAAAGUUCAAAGGGAUUCACAUGUGUGGCUCUGACUUUGGCACAUCUUUAAUUUUGGUCAUUGUUUAUGAGGACCCAGUAUCUGAAAUACCUGCUGUCCUAAACAACACCUCAAGGUACAAUAUUAAAGAUAAAUAAUAGGGCUAUUGAUUAAUCACAGUUAACUCACGUGAUUAACUCAAAAAAAUUAACU